AUUGAACGCUAGCGGGAUGCUUUACACAUGCAAGUCGAACGGCAGCGCGGACUUCGGUCUGGCGGCGAGUGGCGAACGGGUGAGUAAUGUAUCGGAACGUGCCCAGUAGCGGGGGAUAACUACGCGAAAGCGUAGCUAAUACCGCAUACGCCCUACGGGGGAAAGCAGGGGAUCGUAAGACCUUGCACUAUUGGAGCGGCCGAUAUCGGAUUAGCUAGUUGGUGAGGUAACGGCUCACCAAGGCGACGAUCCGUAGCUGAUUUGAGAGGACGACCAGCCACACUGGGACUGAGACACGGCCCAGACUCCUACGGGAGGCAGCAGUGGGGAAUUUUGGACAAUGGGGGCAACCCUGAUCCAGCCAUCCCGCGUGUGCGAUGAAGGCCUUCGGGUUGUAAAGCACUUUUGGCAGGAAAGAAACGUCGCGGGCUAAUACCCCGUGGAACUGACGGUACCUGCAGAAUAAGCACCGGCUAACUACGUG
Molecule: ribosomal RNA, 484 nt
Filed under: uncultured bacterium
Lineage: Bacteria
Description: partial 16S ribosomal RNA
Rfam family: Bacterial small subunit ribosomal RNA
Source: RNAcentral